Long non-coding RNA from Megalops cyprinoides (Indo-Pacific tarpon), 285 nucleotides. RefSeq lists it as uncharacterized. Lineage: Eukaryota; Metazoa; Chordata; Actinopteri; Elopiformes; Megalopidae. The record is from RefSeq and is a predicted model, not a curated record. The transcript has 3 exons.
CCAGAACGCCGCCUUUCUUUUUAUGCCACCGUCUGCCUUUCAAACGUAUUCUUUUACGAAGAAGACAAAAGAGCCCUAUAGCCGGCACACUCGUCAUGAGAUGGAACUGCUGAGGUUGGCGAUUGUUCUUCUAGCUGCAGUCCUCUGUCAAGCGUUUUCAGACAUCACCCCGUCUUCGCCCAGGAACUCCUCAGAGCCGGGACAGACCGGCGGGCCGAAUCACGCUCCUCCUCUCAUACCACAGCUGUCUGGAAACUGUUCCGGGACUCUGGGGCUUCUGAACAC